UACGGAGGGAGCUAGCGUUGUUCGGAAUUACUGGGCGUAAAGCGCGCGUAGGCGGCUCUUCAAGUCAGGGGUGAAAUCCCGGGGCUCAACCCCGGAACUGCCCUUGAAACUGGAUGGCUAGAAUACUGGAGAGGUGAGUGGAAUUCCGAGUGUAGAGGUGAAAUUCGUAGAUAUUCGGAAGAACACCAGUGGCGAAGGCGACUCACUGGACAGUUAUUGACGCUGAGGUGCGAAAGCGUCGGGAGCAAACAGG
Molecule: ribosomal RNA, 253 nt
Filed under: uncultured bacterium
Lineage: Bacteria
Description: partial 16S ribosomal RNA
Rfam family: Bacterial small subunit ribosomal RNA
Source: RNAcentral